CAGCAGCAGCCGCGGUAAUACAGAGGGUGCGAGCGUUAAUCGGAUUUACUGGGCGUAAAGCGUGCGUAGGCGGCUUCUUAAGUCGGAUGUGAAAUCCCUGAGCUUAACUUAGGAAUUGCAUUCGAUACUGGGAAGCUAGAGUAUGGGAGAGGAUGGUAGAAUUCCAGGUGUAGCGGUGAAAUGCGUAGAGAUCUGGAGGAAUACCGAUGGCGAAGGCAGCCAUCUGGCCUAAUACUGACGCUGAGGUACGAAAGCAUGGGGAGCAAACAGGAUUAGAUACCCGUGUAGUCCCUGUCUCUUAUAC
This 304-nucleotide ribosomal RNA is filed under the name uncultured bacterium. RNAcentral describes it as "partial 16S ribosomal RNA". It matches the Rfam family "Bacterial small subunit ribosomal RNA", at positions 506 to 807 of the family's 1533-position model. The record is from RNAcentral.